This 137-nucleotide ribosomal RNA is filed under the name uncultured eukaryote. Its description in RNAcentral is "partial 18S ribosomal RNA". It matches the Rfam family "Eukaryotic small subunit ribosomal RNA", at positions 1299 to 1458 of the family's 1831-position model. The record is from RNAcentral.
UGGUGGGGUGACUUGUCUGCUUAAUUGCGAUAACGAACGAGACCUUAACCUGCUAAAUAGCCCGCAUUGCUCCGGCAGUGCGCUGGCUUCUUAGAGGGACCUUCGGCUCAAGCCGAAGGAAAUUUGAGGCAAUAACA